GGAGAUAUAGCUUAGUAGGUAUAGUGCUUGCCUUGCAUGUACAAGGCCCUGGGUUCAAUCCCUAGUAUCCCCC
Molecule: transfer RNA, 73 nt
Filed under: Ictidomys tridecemlineatus (thirteen-lined ground squirrel)
Lineage: Eukaryota; Metazoa; Chordata; Mammalia; Rodentia; Sciuridae
Description: Spermophilus tridecemlineatus (thirteen-lined ground squirrel) tRNA
Rfam family: tRNA
About the family: Transfer RNA (tRNA) molecules are approximately 80 nucleotides in length. Their secondary structure includes four short double-helical elements and three loops (D, anti-codon, and T loops).
Source: Rfam by way of RNAcentral